Cricetulus griseus (Chinese hamster) is the source of this 971-nucleotide non-coding RNA. The record is from RefSeq and is a predicted model, not a curated record. Lineage: Eukaryota; Metazoa; Chordata; Mammalia; Rodentia; Cricetidae.
GCUCUUCAUGUCCAAAGCCUUGGGAGCCAGAACUUUCUAUGGAAGAAAACUUGUGCUUUUUCGGAGGACAAAGCAAGCAGUUUGGUUCCCACGACCCCAUGACUGAGGGUCUAUCACCGAAGUUGGUGUUUAAAAAUUCAUAACUCCACACAGUUCUAAGAAAACAGGAUGCUCAACAAAUGUCUGUCAGAAGUGAGCUCACAGCACACAGCACACUGGGAUCUAACGAGUAGGGGAGGAUCCUGCUCUGGACUCUUCAGAGAACUCUGGGAUUCGGCUUGGCAGUCGGCAGAUGCAGAGGUUGGUUCUUUGAAGAGACUAGAGUAUAAGAAGGUAAACAAGGCUCUGUUUAAGCACACAUGGUGACAGCUUUCCACUCUACCUGUCAAGUAUGAGCAUCUAACAGCCAUAAGAAGUCUAUUUGACCAUCAGAACCCCACAGAGGCAGAGCCGAACUCAACAAGCUUUCCUUCUAAAACUGGACUUGGAAUCGAAAUAACCCUUUUCAGAGUUUGGAGGACAGGGUGAGAGUGAGAGAGACAAAAGCAAAAACAAACAAACAAACAAACAAAAACCCAAAACAACAACAACAACAAAACCAGAGGACUUCUGAAGACAGAAGAGUCCUAACUGUCACAGGUGUCUUUCUGUGGGCAAAGACACCAUCACCACAUUCUCUUCUCUUAAGUCCACAGGUUGAACAACCUCCACUUGAGCAUCUGGAAUCUGAAAUGCUGUGUGACAAUACAUUGCUACAAGUGGAGACAUCCACACCAUCAAGCUUUCUUUCCUGAACAAACACUUUUGCAUAAAAUUAUCAUCAGGUUAUGUAUAUAAGGUACAUAUGAAAAUAUGAAUCAUGCAUGUAUUUCCUAUUUAGAAGAGUUCUAUUCUCCCAAGAGAUCUCAUUGUGGGUAUGCAGAUAUUCCAAAAACUAAAAAAAAAAAAAAAAAAAAGGAAAAAAAUUGAAA